Molecule: ribosomal RNA, 488 nt
Filed under: uncultured bacterium
Lineage: Bacteria
Description: bacterial SSU rRNA
Rfam family: Bacterial small subunit ribosomal RNA
Source: RNAcentral
CAGGCCUAACACAUGCAAGUCGAGCGGAGUGAUGGUGCUUGCACCAUCACUUAGCGGCGAACGGGUGAGUAAUACCUAGGAAUCUGCCCAUUAGCGGGGGACAACGUGUGGAAACGCACGCUAAUACCGCAUACGCCCUACGGGGGAAAGCAGGGGACUCUUUGAGCCUUGCACUAAUGGAUGAGCCUAGGUCAGAUUAGCUAGUUGGUGGGGUAAAGGCCUACCAAGGCGACGAUCUGUAGCGGGUCUGAGAGGAUGAUCCGCCACACUGGAACUGAGACACGGUCCAGACUCCUACGGGAGGCAGCAGUGGGGAAUAUUGGACAAUGGGCGCAAGCCUGAUCCAGCCAUGCCGCGUGUGUGAAGAAGGCCUUUUGGUUGUAAAGCACUUUAAGCGAGGAGGAGGCUACUGGUACUAAUAUUACCAGCUAGUGGACGUUACUCGCAGAAUAAGCACCGGCUAACUCUGUGCCAGCAGCCGCGGUAAU